RNAcentral lists this long non-coding RNA (4856 nucleotides) under Malus domestica (apple). RNAcentral describes it as "long non-coding RNA (MDOM_LNC014825)". The record is from RNAcentral. Lineage: Eukaryota; Viridiplantae; Streptophyta; Magnoliopsida; Rosales; Rosaceae.
CCAUGCCGAAAUCUGAAAGGCCAACAGAAAUAUCUCAUUACAGCACAGAAGACAAAACUUAGGACAAAACUUAAAACUAAUCAAACUUAGGUGAACCAAUUAUAGAGAACAUAACCCUUGUAACCAAUCGGGAAAAGAUGCUUUUAAAUCCCAGAAAAAAAAAUUAAGAGGAGUUUUUUAAAAAACCAUCAUUUCAAUUAUUUUCCAGUCUUACAUUUGGAUUAAACAGAAAAUAUAAGUAAAAAUGCCAACUUUCUAAAAAAACUACAACUAUUUUUACAAAUUUCCAUUACCCAAUGCUGAAAAAUGAGAAUCACGAAGCAAUGAAGAACGGAACACGCGAGAACCAAAAAGUUAAAAACAACACGUAACCAUUUCAAAGACCCAAAAUCCUGCAAGGACAAAAAAAUCCCAUAAAAUCAGUACAUCAGCACUCCCUGCAAAACCCCAAAAUCAGAAAAUUAUAAAAAGAACCCAAAAUCAGUGGCAUGGUCCUCGUUUCUCCAUCAUUCAGUAGCUAAUGACCUAAUGGAAAAGAACCCAAAACAUACAGCUUAAAAUAUGGAAAGUGCUUAUAAAAGCUCAUGAAUAACGUUCAAAGCCUGCAUAGAAAUGGUAUAGCGCAGAUAACAACAAACAAUAAAACUAUGCACAGUAUAACCUAAAUCCGAUAUGUUGCAUUCCCCACACACAGAUUGUUCAAAAUUAAUUUCGUCUCCGUCUUUUUUCAAAUCUGAUAAAAUCCCCAAAACACAAAAAAUAGCAGCUAACUAUUUUUUGAACUCUGUAAACAACGAUAUGCAUCUUAACCCAUUUAACAUAUUCAUAAAAUAACAUCAAACACAUUUAUGCAUGAGAUAAUAUAGAAGUGAAGUCUCACAACUUUCAUAAAAAAUUAUUACUUUGUUAGAGAAAGGCUUGAAAAAAUAUGUAAAUUACUCACCUCUAUUACAAAAAUGUUACAACAGUAGACAAAAAAGGCCAAAAAUACCAAAAGCCGCACCUCCUGAAAUAAAAAACAUAACCAAACGACACAUUCUCAGUAUCUAAACGAUAUCCAGAAAAAAAGAAAUGAACAGACGAAACCCAUGUAAAUAUACAGAACAAACCAAAAAAAAAAAAAAGAACUGAAGCCAGUAAGAAGAUCACAAAUCUGAUAAAGCAAAAGGUAACAUAAUCUAUAUCGAUUUAAUUAUCCAUCCAAAAAGACAUUUGAAUGAAGAACAUUUUUAAGGAUCCAAACAACCAUUAAACUAAACAAUUAAAAGUAAAAACAGCAAAGCAUUCAUUGAAGAAAUAUAUAUAUAUAUAUAUAUUAUAACGUAUUUUGUUCUUUAUACCUAAAAGAAAAACAUUGGCUUUCUUGUAUGCACUGAAGUAUGCAUGUGUCGGAAAUUUACAAUCUAUAGAGACUCAAUCUCAGACUCAAAAAGACAUCUAAAGGAAAAGUAAUAAGAAAAAUAAGUAGUGGUUUUACCUAUACUCCAUGUGUGGACUCCAAUUUUCAAUCACAAUUCAAAAUUCAAGAGGCCUAUAAAUCAACCACAUAGGAAAUGAUCAGUGGAAGAAAAAGAAAAACAACUGAAGCCAAAAUAGCAUCUAACAAAUCAUUUAGAACCAUCACAGAAAACAAUUUUUGCAUAUAAGUAAUUUAAAGGAAUACCAUCAGGUCAUGCAUAUAUACAACGUACCCAAUUAGAUAAGUAGCACAUCAACAAUUGAUGAUCAAAAAGUUAGUCAGCCUCAAUUGCUUGAAUCUAAUUAACUCAAAGAUAAUAAACAGUCCAUUUAAUGCACGGGCUGACUAUCAAUUUUAUAAAGCUAUAAUUCUGUGCAGUUCAAAAACCAAGUGGAAGAAUAGGCAAAAACUAUCUCAUCGCCUGUAAAUGUAAUUAACUAAAUAUUAAACUUCACAGCCACAAAUAAACCUAAAUUCCUCCUAAAACUAUCUCAUUUAAGCUUGAUUUUACUAUAAUCUAUAAGUGUGGUAAAAAAUGGGAGGCCAAACGAUUUGUUAACAAAAAAGGUAGACAUAAAAGUAAAAGGAACAGGGCAGACAUUAGUUGAGGAGAAGCUAAUGUCACCUUGAAUUGACGACAAACAGUUCUUAUCUUCUCGAAUUAACGAAGAUAAGUACCAUUUUUCUUUAAUUCAAGGUAAUAUAAAAAGAAAUUAUACCUGUACAGUGUUCAGAUGUAGCAAUCCUAUGCAAUCGGCCAAAUGAUGUGUGUCCUCUCAAAGAUCUGUAUAUCCAUUACAGACUAAUCUUCAGUCUUGCAGAAAAUGAUAUGUUGACUACAAUUUCCCAUACUACUAAAAAACACAAAUAAUUCUAUCUACAAACCAAAUAAUAUGUGCAACUUUAUGCUACAAUGGUAGAAUAAGAUGGUUGUACAGGACGACACAAAGAUUGAGACUUUUUUUUACUUCUAAAAUUCUACACACUUUCGAGCCCUAAAUUUUCCCGGAAACAAAAAAAAGUGAAAGAAGUCGUACCUGGUUUGAGAGAGUGGGACACCAUCGGCGAGUUUGGUGUAGCAGUGAUGGCGGAGAUCUCUGGUGAGAAAGCUAAUAAGAUGGACAAAAUCAUUGAACAAAAAAAACCUCGCUUUUUAAAAUUAAAGUCAACAAAAAUUUGAACAAAGAAAAGAGAACUCAAACCCGAAACAAAUAAGUCGGAGAACUCGCCAGGAAACCCAAAGUUUCUGCAGGAUUGGCGAUUUCCUGAAAACCAAGCUUUUGUAGGUUUAAAAUUUCUUCCCUAAGGCAACAGAUCCAACAUUCCCAACUUUAGCUAUUUCAGCUACAUAAUAGAAAGAAAAAAAAAUUUAUAUAAUUAACUAAUCUGAUUUAAGAUUAAUCGAAAAGCUUGGAAAUUUCAGCUUUAAAAUUACAUGUCAGGCUGCAAAUCUAAUAAAAAGCGUAGAAUUUUAAAAAUGCUGACCUUAAAUACAGAGGCCUUCGCAGGCUGCAAAGAAGCGUUAGAAACCCGAAAAACCGGAUCUCCUGAAACCAAAAACAAAACCAAAUUAACCAUCAUCACCCAUAAUUCGAAGCCACAAACAUAAUCCCCAAAAUUACAACCCAAAAAUUUAAACAAAAAAACCCAUUUAUAAAUCCAAAUUUACACUCCCAAGUGCAAGACUCUAAGCUCCAACUGUUCUUUCUCAACUUUAGCUAUUUCAGCAACAUAACAUAAAUAAAAAGGUCGUACCCAGUGCACAAGGCUCCCGCUUUACGCAGGGUCUGGGAGAGGUGAAUGUCGGCUAGCCUUACCCCCAUUUUAUGGAGAGGCUGCUCCCAAGUCUCGAACCCGAGACCUACCGCUCAUGGGCGAAGACACUUGCCAUCGCACCAAGUGCGACCUCUAGCAACAUAACAUAAAUAAAAAGAUCGUACCCAGUGCACAAGGCUCCCGCUUUACGCAGGGUCUGGGAGAGGUGAACGUCGGCUAGCCUUACCCCCAUUUUAUGAAGAGGCUGGAACAUAACAUAAAUAAAUAAACAAAAUUAAUUUAACUAUAAUUAACUAAUAUGAUUUAAGAUUAAUCAAAAAACUUGGAAAUCUGCUUGAAUCCAAUCUCAAAAUUGAAAACGAACACUUCACUUUUACAAAAGUUGUACAAAGCAAAAAAAAAAAAACAGACAAAUCAAAGUCUCACAAAGGGCCACAACGACAGCAAAAUUGCAACAGAAAGAGGAAAAAUGUUCAAUCAAACCAUUGGAUAACUCUUCUAAGGCAGCCAAAAAAAAACCCACAAAUUCAAAACCACAAAAAUCCAAUCUAAAACAUCGAUUCACAGACUGAGAUGCACAAAAUGAUAUAUUAACAAAUCCAAAACGAAAUACAAAAAUUAAGAACCAACAAGCAAAAAAAUACUGAUUAUCCCCUGCAUACGUGAGCACACGUUCAAAAAGCCUCUCAAAGGCUGAGAUUCAACUUUCAAACAUAAAGACUUUAAGCCACAAUUGUUCUUUCUUAACUUUAGCUACUUCAGUUACAUAAUCGGAAAAAAAAAAUUAUUUAAUUAUAGUUAACUAAUCUGGGUUAAGAUUAAUAAAAAAGCUUGGAAAUUUCAGAUCUAAAAUCACACCUCAGGCUGCAAGUAGAAUCAAAACCAUGGAAUUUCAAAAUCACUGACCUUAAACACACAGGUCUUCGCAGGCUUCAAAGAAAAGUCACAAACUCGAAAAACCCAAUCUCCUGAAAUCGAAAACAAAACCAAAUUAACCAUCAUCACCUAGAAUCCGAAGCUACAAAACAAAAUUCCCAAAAUCAAAACCAAAAAAUUUGAACAAAAAACUCAUUUAAUAUCCAAAUUUACACUCCCAAGCACAUAACAUUCAAAGCAGACAAUUACCCAAAUCAAAUCGACAGCAGGAGAUGCAAUCUUUUAUGGGCUUCAAAUUUUCUUCAAACCGAGACCAAAUUCGCUAGUUUUCAGCAAGAGAGCGUUGCCGUUUGUAACCCCCGAUGAAAAGAUCCAAACAAAUUUGACUAACAGUAGACAGAGAGAGAGAGAGAUAGAGAGAGAGAGGUGAAAAUUACUCGCUGGUGACGAAGCUAAUGAAUUCGGAGACGCAUUCCUGGACGGUGUUCGACUGAUCGGCACGAGUAGAGACACCAGAUCAGAAAGACAGAAAAAUUAGGGUUUGGGAGAUAAAGAAACUGGGGCAGAGAGAGAGGGAAAGAGAAGCAGAAAAGAGGAUAAUUUUAUGCAUUUUUUUUAGCCGCUUUGAAUUUUUUUUGGCCGACAGGCAUUUGCGUCCGAUUAUUUUUGUCGAAGCCGGUGACACCAAAACCGGCCUCCGGCUUUCGGACCAGGAUUGUCUGCCCCUUCAUUUUCCCUGCCAUGU